UAGAUUCUUUUCUAAGAACGACUAAUUUCUUUGGAAUCUCAAAGUUUGUCAUAAUGUCAUCUUUUUUUUCCCCUAGGCCCUCGUGUGAAGAAUAUGUUGUCUUGAACUCAACCAUCAUAUAAUCGGUUUCAUCUAUAAAAUAAUAUCUCCAUAUUCUUAUUUUUUGUGCUUGUUCGUGAUUUCUUGAUUCAAUACCCUAUAUGCAUAGGAACCACAAACGUAAAAAAAAAAAAAAAAACUAUAGUAUUCAUUUAUAAACCAUCCAUAAAUUUAAAAAGAAUAAUUACGAAAACAAAAAAGCAUAACAAUGUCAUAAAAGCAUAAGGAAGAAUAAAAUAAGUCACAUGAAAAAAAAAAAAAAAGGAGAGAUGAAUAGUUUUUUUAUAGGAGAGACGAAGAAACUACUUUUUAUGUGAACAUUUGAUUCAUCAAAAUCGCAGCAUGAAGGAAAUAUUACUCUUGGAACAUUGAUAUCAAAGAAAAAAAAAUAUGAAGAAAAAAGAAUAAAAAGACUAAACAAUCUUUGUCUGAACAUUUGAUUCAUCAAAGUCACAACAUAAAGGAAAUAUAAAUCUUGGAGCAUUGAUAUCAAAGUUAAAAAAGAAGAAGAAGAACAAAGAAUAAAAAACGGGGGAUAA
Molecule: long non-coding RNA, 638 nt
Filed under: Medicago truncatula (barrel medic)
Lineage: Eukaryota; Viridiplantae; Streptophyta; Magnoliopsida; Fabales; Fabaceae
Description: long non-coding RNA (MTRU_LNC006170)
Source: RNAcentral